AGCAAUGGAUGAUGCAGGACAGAUUGCGGGCUCCCCAGCGGCCAGACCCCCGUGAUCAGACAUCUUAUCCCCUAUGCUUUGCCAUUACAGAACUGUGGUAAAACGAAGAAAACGUAUUACUCAACUGAAGGUUUCAGUAAGCUAGCGCUUCUUGCGACCAACUUUGAUGUCAGACUGGGGAAUCCAGGCUCUUUGUAGUGAAGUUUGCGAAAAUAUUAAGAAAGAGGGUUCAUACAAAGCUCAUUGGAAAAUACAAUUAUGCCUGGAAGGUAUUAAGGGAAAAUAGGGAGAGCUGUAAGAUGGAUGAAUGGCUAUCAAAGGAAUCCUGAACACAUCAUAAAGAAGUACGAAGACCCAAACAGAAGGUGGGAUGCUUAAGAAACUUAAAGAAAUCUACUUAAAUAGUCACUGAGUUUUUCUAACCAGCUUAGUUUUAGGUACCUAUAAAAUGUUUUUACGUUUAGUGGUCUGGAGAAGACAACUUUUUUUAUUUUAUUUUUUAUUUCCAUCUAUCAUCU
Hyla sarda is the source of this 518-nucleotide long non-coding RNA. RefSeq lists it as uncharacterized. NCBI's taxonomy places the organism in Eukaryota, Metazoa, Chordata, Amphibia, Anura, Hylidae. The record is from RefSeq and is a predicted model, not a curated record. The transcript has 3 exons.